Long non-coding RNA from Astatotilapia calliptera (eastern happy), 707 nucleotides. NCBI's taxonomy places the organism in Eukaryota, Metazoa, Chordata, Actinopteri, Cichliformes, Cichlidae. The record is from Ensembl.
AUUCUGUCAUGGUCUACGGUGGGUGGCUGGAGUUUCCAUUAGGCUCCUGAACUGACCUGGGAUCCGCCCCUGGGCAGGGCCAACUCCAGCUCCUGCACACCUGGAGCCUAUUGCAGGCUAUCAAGCCAGAGGGAUUUAAACCACACAUCGAUGUUCACUCACUGCCAGUUCGUCAUCAACCCAUGUUGGUAACAGGUCUUGUGUUUCAAGUUCUCGCUGUGCGUCAUCUUACUAACUAAGACUCUUUUGUGCUACAGUCGCUGUACCCACCCUGGCUCACUCCACCUCCGGACUCGGAAUACCUAGUGAUCAUUUUGGAAAUCCCUCUGUGCCUCACCUGCCUGCCCUCCUGCCAUCACACUCCAUCUGGAGCCCCGGAUCUCAGGUCAGCCUUUCCACGCCACUCAGCCUCCCCUGGAUCUUCAUCAUCCCCCUCUCAAACACUCCAGGUCCCUAACUGCAAAUGUGACUGUUCCCCACUCAGCUCCGUUCCACUUCUCAGGCCUCGUUCCCUCGCCCUAGCCACGUUCCCCUGGGCACGCCACACCAAGGCUCCACGUCUCGUCAUUUUCUGUCUUUGCCACGUUUCCCUUUUUUUUCUGUUCCCCUUGCACUUAACCGUAAUAAACUAUUAAAUCAUCUACCGUCUCCGCUCUGGGUUCCUGCACCUGGGUCCUAUUCAGUACCGGCCAUCCGUCGCCGUGACA